This is a non-coding RNA of Paramuricea clavata, 608 nucleotides long. The record is from the annotation of a GenBank genome assembly. NCBI's taxonomy places the organism in Eukaryota, Metazoa, Cnidaria, Anthozoa, Malacalcyonacea, Plexauridae.
UCAUCGUGGUUGCACGUUUCAUCUCAGCUAUCCCUAUUGGACGAUUACUUCAUUAUACGAAAAUACAAUGAGCUCAACUUGGCCGUGCACAAAUUACAGUCAAACUGGAUGUUCUCUGCAAGCAAACAUUGCAAUAUUGUCUCACAAUAUUGCAAUUUUGAUAGGAAGAUUGCUCUGAGCAAUUUGCAACCGACGCGAACAAAUUACACUGUUGAAAUUCAAAAAAUAAUUUGUAAACAAAGCCCUAAUUAGAUUAUAAGAAAGAGGGAAACCAAUCAAAUAGUCUGAGCAGCUGGAUUGGUGCUUCCCUCUUUCUUAUAGUCCAAUCGGAGGCUUUGUUUACAAAUCGUUUGUGAAUUUCAACUGUAGGUACGAAGUUGCUAUCAGACUUACCUGACGUCAUGAAUUUUAUCGACUUUUCUCUGAUACUUGAUGUAAGCUGACCGACACUCUCCAGAUAGGCUCGUAUGAACAUGCUCGGAGCGAAGUUUAUCAUAUUUUGUUCACCACAUCCGUACGGCAUUUUGAGUAACUUUUCUAUACCGCUGAUGGAGGAGCCCAUAAUGUCACCUGUACGGAGAAAUGUAAUUUAAGAAGAAUUUUAGGAU